AUGAAACCAAUGGGAGCUCUGAAACCAAACUCUGUACAACUAGUCUCAGACUUGAUUGAUCCAGAUUCAAACCAAUGGAAUACUGAGCUGAUCAGGUCGGUAUUCUUACCCCCUGAUGUGGAUGCAAUUUUGGCUAUGCCAAGAUCGAGAACAGGUGGUGCAGAUAUCUGGGCUUGGGCAUGGGAGAAGUCCGGACUGUUUACUGUUCGAUCAGCGUAUCGCCAGGCUAUGGAAGAAAAGCGUCAGAUGACAGUGACAGAGAGCUCAUCGACGGGUGAUGAAGGAACAUGGCGAGCUUUGUGGAAGCUUAAUGUUCUGUCUAAGAUUAAGGUAUUUUGGUGGCGAGUGCUAAAGGGGUUACUACCCAGCUAUGGAGAACUAAAGCGACGGCAUAUAAAGCAACUACCAAAUUGCCCAAUGUGUGGCAACGAUAAUGAAACGCUGUUUCAUUCUUUGAUGGAAUGUGAUCAUGCUAGACGCUUCUGGGAGGCGGCUGAGCGCUUCUUUGACAUAGACACGCCGAGGCUCCAUCCAGGGACUUGGUCCCGGGAUAUACUGGAUCAUACUAUGAUUAAGAAGGAAAAUGUGGCAAUCAUGGUCGCAGUGAUGUGGGUGGUGUGGCAUUCGAGAAAUAGCUAUACACAUGGAGAGCAGCAGUACCAACCAGUGCAAUCCAUGAGAACCAUAGAGGAGAUUGUUCGAGCUCUUGAAGUUCCAUCAACCGGUAGAAUUCAACCUGUCAUCCAACCAUCAUGGCAGCCGCCGGAAGUAGGGUGGGCGAAAAUAAAUACAGAUGGAGCUACGGACUCGGAGCAUGGCAAAGGUGGUGCAGGUUUUGUCGUACGAGACCACCAGGGGGCGUUUGUGAGUGCGGGGUGUUCACGCUAUGAUGGAGUUUCAGACCCUCUCACGAUCGAGCUUCUCGCAUGCAGAGAUGCGCUUGCAGCAGCGCAGAAUUCAGGGCUGCAUUACGUAGAGAUGGAGACGGAUUGCCAACAAAUUCAGACUCUUUGGGAAGCUCCGCAGAAGUCAAGUUUUUUCCACCUCAUUAGAGAGAUGAGGGAUAUAUGUAAUUUCUUUCAGGGAUUCAAGCUUCGAUUGAGAUCCACCAUCUAUGCUGACAAGAUUCGGUGCUGCUACAUGUUUGCUUGUUUUAUCCCCUCACUAUUGUAUCAGGACUUGGCCAGGAGCGAUGCGCAGCACACAUGCAGCCAACUGAUGCAUAUCCACAGUUCGACGCACAGGACAAGGGCUAGACGAGAAAAUAGUGAAAUCUUCAACUACGACAACGCUUCGAUCCAACAACUACCAAGCCAUGCAUGUACCAACAAAACAAGAACUCUAAAACUGCGUCUGUCGUCACCCACUUGCCAUGUUCGAGACGGCGCGCUAGCAAGCUCAGCUCCUGUCAAGAUCCUUUUGGUUAAUGGCCCUAGCCUUUGGCUUGAUCGGCUCUUGGGAGUCCCCGUCCAUGCCAUGCGUUGA
This 1485-nucleotide ribosomal RNA is filed under the name Triticum aestivum (bread wheat). RNAcentral describes it as "partial small subunit ribosomal RNA". The record is from RNAcentral. Lineage: Eukaryota; Viridiplantae; Streptophyta; Magnoliopsida; Poales; Poaceae.